This 398-nucleotide ribosomal RNA is filed under the name Botuliformidae sp. RNAcentral describes it as "partial small subunit ribosomal RNA". It matches the Rfam family "Eukaryotic small subunit ribosomal RNA", at positions 582 to 975 of the family's 1831-position model. Lineage: Eukaryota; Cercozoa; Thecofilosea. The record is from RNAcentral.
AUUCCAGCCCCAAUAGCGUAUAUUAAAGUUGUUGCAGUUAAAAAGCUCGUAGUUGGAUUUCUGGUUUGAUGCCCUGGCCCGCUUCGAAUUUUGGAGUGUGUGCCGGCUGUGCGUCUGCCAUCCUUCUAGAAAACGUUCGUACCCUUCACUGGGCCGCGUUCGAGAUCUAGAUCUUUUACUUUGAAGAAAUUAGAGUGUUCAAAGCAGGCUCGCGCUGUGAAUACAUUAGCAUGGAAUAAUAAUUUAGGACUUGGUAUCCUAUUUUGUUGGUUUUCAGGAUCUAAGUAAUGAUUGAUAGGGAUAGUUGGGGGUGCUAGUAUUUUGCGGCCAGAGGUGAAAUUCUGUGAUUCGCGAAAGACUAACUUAUGCGAAAGCAUUCACCAAGGAUGUCUUCAUUA